GCCAGACUCACAGCUCAGUGACAUGCAAGAGCUCUCAAGGAGAAAAAGAAAGGCUUCUGCCAUGGCUGGCUGAAAACACAAGGGCUUGGCUGGAGAAACAGCCCCUGAAUUCUCUGAGUCACUGCUCACUUACAUCCUGCCCUGCUCCAGCACUUCCUCAUUCACACAGGAGCUCCUUGCAGCAGCAGCACGUCUGGAUCUCAGCACGUGCAGAGGGACACAGGGAGAUCCCACAGAGCCCUCCCUCCCUGUCAGGACAAAGCACCUGCCUCCUAUGGAAGCUGAGCAUCCCUGAACAGCCACCAAAGGUCCAGUCCAGGAGCUGGCACAUGCCCAUGACUGAGCUUUGGUUCAACAACAGGUCACAUCUGCUCACAUGUGUUCAAAACAGCACCUCAAUACCUUGAGGCAAAUCUUCACUUCAGAGCAAGGUGUGGUGCAGAGGUGUCUGUGCUAACAGGAGAUGGGGAAGUGCUGGAGCAUUGCAUGGGCAUGAACUCCACGUGCUGAAGGA
RNAcentral lists this long non-coding RNA (514 nucleotides) under Junco hyemalis (dark-eyed junco). RNAcentral's name for it is "lncRNA (ENSJHYG00000013368.1)". Lineage: Eukaryota; Metazoa; Chordata; Aves; Passeriformes; Passerellidae. The record is from RNAcentral.